CUAUACAUGCAGUCGAACGGGCGAUAGCAAUAUCGCUAGUGGCGCACGGGUGCGUAACGCGUAACCAAUCUGCCCUGAACUGGGGGAUAGCCCGCCGAAAGGCGGAUUAAUACCGCAUAAUACUAUGAUUCGGCAUCGGGUUAUAGUUAAAGAUUUAUUGGUUCAGGAUGAGGUUGCGUGCCAUUAGCUAGUUGGCGGGGUAACGGCCCACCAAGGCGACGAUGGCUAGGGGACCUGAGAGGGUGAUCCCCCACACUGGCACUGAGAUACGGGCCAGACUCCUACGGGAGGCAGCAGUAGGGAAUAUUGGGCAAUGGACGAGAGUCUGACCCAGCCAUGCCGCGUGCCGGAUGAAGGCCUUCUGGGUUGUAAACGGCUUUUCUCAGGGAAGAAAAAGGGUAUGCGUACCAAACUGACGGUACCUGAGGAAUAAGCACCGGCUAACUCCGUGCCAGCAGCCGCGGUAAUACGGAGGGUGCAAGCGUUGUCCGGAUUUAUUGGGUUUAAAGGGUGCGUAGGCGGCCCGUUAAGUCCGGGGUGAAAGCCCACAGCUCAACUGUGGAACUGCCCUGGAUACUGGCGGGCUUGAGUCCAGACGAGGUUGGCGGAAUGGAUGGUGUAGCGGUGAAAUGCAUAGAUACCAUCCAGAACCCCGAUUGCGUAGGCAGCUGACUAGGCUGGUACUGACGCUGAGGCACGAAAGCGUGGGGAGCGAACAGGAUUAGAUACCCUGGUAGUCCACGCCGU
Molecule: ribosomal RNA, 747 nt
Filed under: bacterium 30_xplvp384
Lineage: Bacteria
Also listed under: 1 other name
Description: bacterial SSU rRNA
Rfam family: Bacterial small subunit ribosomal RNA
Source: RNAcentral